RNAcentral lists this ribosomal RNA (301 nucleotides) under uncultured bacterium. RNAcentral describes it as "partial 16S ribosomal RNA". It matches the Rfam family "Bacterial small subunit ribosomal RNA", at positions 509 to 807 of the family's 1533-position model. The record is from RNAcentral.
CAGUAGCCGCGGUAAUACAGAGGGUGCAAGCGUUAAUCGGAAUUACUGGGCGUAAAGCGUGCGUAGGCGGCUUUUUAAGUCGGAUGUGAAAUCCCCGGGCUCAACCUGGGAAUGGCAAUGGAUACUGGCAAGCUAGAGUAUGGGAGAGGAUGGUAGAAUUCCAGGUGUAGCGGUGAAAUGCGUAGAGAUCGGGAGGAACACCAAUGGCGAAGGCAGCCAUCUGGGCCAACACUGACGCUGAGGUACGAAAGCGUGGGGAGCAAACAGGAUUAGAUACCCGAGUAGUCCCUGUCUCUUAUAC